AUUGAACGCUGGCGGCACGCCUAACACAUGCAAGUCGAGCGGUAGCAGGACCUGUAGCAAUACAGGUUGCUGACGAGCGGCGGACGGGUGAGGAAUACGUAGGAACCUGCCUUAUAGUGGGGGAUAACUAAGGGAAACUUUAGCUAAUACCGCAUAAUCUCGAGAGAGGAAAGCUACCGCAAGGUGGCGCUAAUAGAGGGGCCUGCGUCCGAUUAGCUAGUUGGUGAGGUAAGAGCUCACCAAGGCGAUGAUCGGUAACUGGUCUGAGAGGACGACCAGUCACACUGGGACUGAGAAACGGCCCAGACUCCUACGGGAGGCAGCAGUGGGGAAUAUUGGACAAUGGGGGCAACCCUGAUCCAGCGAUGCCGCGUGAGUGAAGAAGGCCUUCGGGUCGUAAAGCUCUUUAGGUUGGGAAGAAGGGUGUUAGAGGAAAUGCUAAUACUUUGACGGUACCGACAGAAUAAGCACCGGCAAACUCUGUGCCAGCCGCCGCCGUAA
This 501-nucleotide ribosomal RNA is filed under the name uncultured bacterium. Its description in RNAcentral is "partial 16S ribosomal RNA". It matches the Rfam family "Bacterial small subunit ribosomal RNA", at positions 30 to 523 of the family's 1533-position model. The record is from RNAcentral.